UGGAACCUGCCUGAGGUUUCUCUGGUCUUGGAGAGGGUAUCCUUUCCUGGGAGAAGGAGCUUACUGAGAAAAGGACUUUCUGAUCCCUAAGGUGGAGGGACUGGGGCUGUGAGCAUCUCAUUCCUCAGCCAUUUGAAAAUAGGAUGGUGUGGGCUGGAGAGAAGGACAACGGACUUUGUCUAACAAUACCAACAUUCCCCAGACUUUUUUUUUUUUUUUGGUGACAGGGUCUCCCUCUGCUGCCCAGGCUGGAGUGCAGUGGUGCAAUUGUGUGAUCAUAGCUCACUGCAGCCUUAACCUCCUUGGCUCAAGAAAUCCUCCUGCUUCAGCUUCCCAAGUAGCUAGGACUACAGGCAUGUGUUGCCCUGCCCAGAUAAUUUUUUAAAAUAUUUUUUGUAGAGAUGGGAUCUCACUGUGUUGCCCAGGCUGAUCUCCAACUCCUGGCCUCAGGUGAUCCUCCCACCUUGACUUCCCAGAGUACUGAAAUUAUAGGUGCAAGCCAGCACACCUGACCCUGGACUCUUACUUAGUACCAGCCAGUGCUCUAAGAGAUUUACUUGGAUUAACUCAUUUAAUCCUCAAAAUAAAACCAUGAGGUAUUGACUCAACUGGCUUUGUAUGCUGGGCACCACUUUGCAAACAGCUUACAGGAUGGACUGCAGUCCUCACAACGAUCUUCAAAGCACGCUCGGAGUUGUGGCCCUACGGGGACCCGGUGAAUUCAGCUGCCUGUAUGAGGUGAUGUUGUUUUGCCUUAAAUGGUCCCCUAGCCUCUCCCAAAGACCCCUCCUUACUCUUCCCAAGAAUGUCCCAAUUCCUUUCCCACUUGUGCCACUCAUUUUCAAGAGAGGAGAUGGCCCAGCCCUCUUCUCUUCCCCACCUCCCUCCCCCAAACUGUGUGACCCUCAGCACCCAGGGCUCAGGGGGCUGCCAGAGAUGGAGAGGAGGCAAACCCAAGCCAGCUCCUGGGGUC
Molecule: long non-coding RNA, 973 nt
Filed under: Homo sapiens (human)
Lineage: Eukaryota; Metazoa; Chordata; Mammalia; Primates; Hominidae
Description: HSALNT0242244
Source: RNAcentral